GUUUGUGCUCCCAGCACUGACUCAGCAGUUGUGAGGGGGAAGAUGGUGUUGGCUGGGGUUAAAAAUAUGGCAGAAGAAAGCACCAGAAGCAGCUCACUCAACCACCUUCUGAGGAAUAUGUAGCUGCUCCUGCUCCCGGUGGCCUUUCUCCCACCCCCACAGGGCUUGGGCAGAGAGGUGGGACAAGCUGAGGUCUGCGACAGGGAGUCAGCACUGUUUCCUGUUGAACCCUGGAUUGCUCUCCCAAUGUGUGGAGCAGACCGCUGAAAUCAGCAACUCCUCUUCCUCUGCAUCUUCUCUCCUCCAUCCCAUCUUUUAGCCUUUCUGGAGCAUCAAACUGGUACCAACACAGCAGGUUCUAAGAGAACAGAGAUAAGUACCAAAAGCUUCCUUUCAGGGGAGAUCAUCAGAGGCCAAGAGGCCAGGCUCCAUUCCCAUCCCUACAGGCCAUUUCUUCUGACCUAGAGUCCGGUGGGUUCGGGUACCUGCAGGGUGUUCUUGGUGUGAGAAGACUUUUUUCUAACCGCAGCUCUAUGCUGGGGAACAUGAGGAAAUAAGGAGUGUCCUGGGCAACCAGUCAGACAGGCCCAGAAGAGUUCAUAAGAGGGACCUUAAAGCAGGGGUAACAAAGAGACCAGGUAGGUCUGGGGGCAGAGAACAGGCCAGUGUAAAUGAGGAGAAAAGAAGGAUGUGCUCAAGAGAGAGACGGGGGAAACAGAAGGCCUGAUUGGGGCCCAAAAUAUGAAUUCAAGCUCUCUCUCAAUAUAUUCUGGGGGAAGUAAAACUCAAGGUCCCUGUGUCCCCCACCAUCCCCAGCUCAGGGCUUUGAGGAGCAGAGGGCACAGACAGCUCAGCCCCAGAGCUCUCCUGUCCCCUCAAUUCCCUCAGCUACAGUCUCACCACCCUGGGCUGUCCUCCUGCCCUGCAGAGCUGGGGUACAGAGCUCCUGUGGCUCACACCUACCUCUUGGCCACCUUUCCUUCACAGCCCUAUAAAUGUCAUCCUGGGGGCCCACUACAUGGGGAGGCUGGAAAGCACCCAGCAGCGCAUAUCUGUGCUCAGAGCAUCUGCCAUCCUGAAUAUGAGCAGCAGAACAACCUGAAUGACAUCGUGUUACCACGGGCACCAUCUACCUGACACUCUGGUUCCCCAGCCCAGCUGUCUUUCUCCCAGCAUGGAGGCUCCAUCCUGUCUUGGGACCAUGAAGGAGGAAGCAGGAGCAGGGUUGCAGAUAAUGGUGGGGGCAAGAGGAUUUCUGGGGGAUUAGAGGAGCACCAGACACACAACCUGCACAUGUGCAGCCUUGUCCUGUGGAAGUGGAAGGUGUCCUGACUUGGGUUGAGCUACAGACAGUAACCAUAGUCAGGACUGAAGCCCAGCGAUGGAAAGAUCCAGAAGCUUGACUCCUCCACCCAGCAGCCUCCCAUCUCACACACACCCCACAUUGAAGGAGCCCACCUGUCCCUAUCUUCUCUGAGGGCUGAGCCUUAGGGCAAAAGGAGUGGGGAGGCCUGAUUUCAUGUCCCUUCCUCCCAUCACCCACAGGGGGACACUAGAGGCCCCCUGGUGUGUCAUCAUGAGGCCCAGGGCAUCGUAUCCUAUGUAAAUAAUAUGGGAACUUCUUCAUUAGUCUUCACCAGAGUUUCCAGCUUCUUUUCCUGGAUAAGAAGAACAAUGAGAUGCCUCAAACAGUGGGGUCAGACUGAGACCCACACCCACCUGUGACCCACUCUUCUUCUCUGGGGCAGAGGCCAGCUCCAGGGGGGUUGCCAGAGCCUUAAUAAAUGGCCACGUCUAGAGUGGAAAUAUCUG
Equus asinus (donkey) is the source of this 1812-nucleotide long non-coding RNA. Lineage: Eukaryota; Metazoa; Chordata; Mammalia; Perissodactyla; Equidae. The record is from Ensembl.